AAAGGGACACUCCAGGCUUCCACACACGUUAGGUGCACUGUGUAGGUUAGGUUACAGUUAGUUAUACUGGGUGGGUUUAUAUUAUUAAAGGGACACUCCAGGCUCCCACACACGUUAGGUGCACUGUGUAGGUUAGGUUACAGUUAGUUGUACUGGGUGGGUUUAUAUUAUUAAAGGGACACUCCAGGCUCCCACACACGUUAGGUGCACUGUGUAGGUUAGGUUACAGUUAGUUGUACUGGGUGGGUUUAUAUUAUUAAAGGGACACGCCAGGCUCCCACACACGUUAGGUUACUGUUAGUUAUACUGGGUGGGUUUAUAUUAUUAAAGGGACACUCCAGGCUCCCACACACGUUAGGUGCACUGUGUAGGUUAGGUUACAGUUAGUUAUACUGGGUGGGUUUAUAUUAUUAAAGGGACACUCCAAGCUCCCACACGUUAGGUGCACUGUGUAGGUUAGGUUACAGUUAGUUAUACUUAGUGGGUUUAUAUUAUUAAAGGGACACUCCAAGCUCCCACACGUUAGAUGCACUGUGUUAGGUUACAGUUAGUUAUACUUUGUGGCUUUAUAUUAUUAAAGGGACACUCCAGGCUCUCUCAC
This is a non-coding RNA of Pelobates cultripes (western spadefoot toad), 601 nucleotides long. The record is from the annotation of a GenBank genome assembly. NCBI's taxonomy places the organism in Eukaryota, Metazoa, Chordata, Amphibia, Anura, Pelobatidae.